Molecule: long non-coding RNA, 325 nt
Filed under: Pan troglodytes (chimpanzee)
Lineage: Eukaryota; Metazoa; Chordata; Mammalia; Primates; Hominidae
Description: lincRNA
Source: RNAcentral
GCAGGUGGAGGAACUCAGCCAUCCCGGUUACCGGUGGCAGGAUGAUUUCCUUUCAUCCCAAACUUUGUUUCCAUAGUGAAGUCAUCAUGAAGGAGUACUGUGUUGGCAUCCUCGCUUCACAGGAUUCCCAUGCCUGGUACUCUUGCUCUGUAGACCAGGCUGGAGUGCAGUGGCAGGAUCUCAGCUCAACACAUCCUCCGCCUCCCAGGUUCAGCCUCUGCAGUAGCUGGGAUGACAAGCAUGCAUCACCACGCUCAGCUAAUGUUUUGUACUUUUAGUAGAAGCCAGGCUUCACCAUGUUGGCCAGGCUGCUCUCCUACUACAG